This 520-nucleotide ribosomal RNA is filed under the name uncultured Scutellospora. Its description in RNAcentral is "SSU rRNA". It matches the Rfam family "Eukaryotic small subunit ribosomal RNA", at positions 569 to 1097 of the family's 1831-position model. Lineage: Eukaryota; Fungi; Glomeromycota; Glomeromycetes; Diversisporales; Gigasporaceae. The record is from RNAcentral.
AGCAGCCGCGGUAAUUCCAGCCCCAAUAGCGUAUAUUAAAGUUGUUGCAGUUAAAAAGCUCGUAGUUGAAUUUCGGGGUUCUACCGUUGGUCGGGCUUUGUCUGUACUGAUGUGUAGAAUUUCUACCUUCUGGGGAACCAUCAUGUUAUUAAUUUAGCGUGGUGGGAAACCAGGACCUUUACCUUGAAAAAUUAGAGUGUUCAAAGCAGGCUUAUGUCUGAAUACAUUAGCAUGGAAUAAUAGAAUAGGACGGUGGUCCUGUUUUGUUGGUUUCUGAAUCACCGUAAUGAUUAAUAGGGAUAGUUGGGGGCAUUAGUAUUCAAUUGUCAGAGGUGAAAUUCUUGGAUUUAUUGAAGACUAACUUCUGCGAAAGCAUUUGCCAAGGAUGUUUUCAUUAAUCAAGAACGAAAGUUAGGGGAUCGAAGACGAUCAGAUACCAUCGUAGUCUUAACCAUAAACUAUGCCGACUAGGGAUCGGACGACGUUAAUUUUCUUGACUCGUUCGGCGCCUUACGGGAAC